UGAGGAAUAUUGGGCAAUGCCCGCAAGGGUGACCCAGCAACGCCGCGUGGAGGAUGAAUGUCGUAAGAUUGUAAACUCCUGUUAGAGGGGAAGAAUAGUACCGGUUGGACCGGUAUAUGACUGUACCCUCAGAGAAAGCCCCGGCUAACUACGUGCCAGCAGCCGCGGUAAUACGUAGGGGGCAAGCGUUGUCCGGAUUUACUGGGUGUAAAAGGCGCGCAGGCGGGAUAAAAAGUCAGUGGUGAAAUCCUACAGCUUAACUGUAGAACUGCCUUUGAUACUUUUAUUCUUGAGUUCGGGAGAGAGAGACGGAAUUCCAGGUGUAGUGGUGAAAUACGUAGAUAUCUGGAAGAACACCAGUUGCGAAGGCGGUCUCUUGGUCCGACACUGACGCUGAGGCGCGAAAGCGUGGGGAGCAAACA
RNAcentral lists this ribosomal RNA (422 nucleotides) under uncultured bacterium. RNAcentral's name for it is "bacterial SSU rRNA". It matches the Rfam family "Bacterial small subunit ribosomal RNA", at positions 355 to 774 of the family's 1533-position model. The record is from RNAcentral.